RNAcentral lists this ribosomal RNA (421 nucleotides) under uncultured bacterium. RNAcentral describes it as "bacterial SSU rRNA". It matches the Rfam family "Bacterial small subunit ribosomal RNA", at positions 355 to 773 of the family's 1533-position model. The record is from RNAcentral.
UGAGGAAUAUUGGGCAAUGCCCGCAAGGGUGACCCAGCAACGCCGCGUGGAGGAUGAAUGUCGUAAGAUUGUAAACUCCUGUUAGAGGGGAAGAAUAGUACCGGUUGGACCGGUAUAUGACUGUACCCUCAGAGAAAGCCCCGGCUAACUACGUGCCAGCAGCCGCGGUAAUACGUAGGGGGCAAGCGUUGUCCGGAUUUACUGGGUGUAAAGGGCGCGCAGGCGGGAUAAAAAGUCAGUGGUGAAAUCCUACAGCUUAACUGUAGAACUGCCUUUGAUACUUUUAUUCUUGAGUUCGGGAGAGAGAGACGGAAUUCCAGGUGUAGUGGUGAAAUACGUAGAUAUCUGGAAGAACACCAGUUGCGAAGGCGGUCUCUUGGUCCGACACUGACGCUGAGGCACGAAAGCGUGGGGAGCAAAC